Molecule: RNA transcript, 1302 nt
Organism: Macadamia integrifolia
Lineage: Eukaryota; Viridiplantae; Streptophyta; Magnoliopsida; Proteales; Proteaceae
Gene name: cytosolic enolase 3-like
Exons: 4
Source: RefSeq, a predicted model, not a curated record
CGCAUUGAUGCGGCGGUUCUUUCAUCUCCCUAAAGAGUAGAAACAUAACCUUCAAACCUCCAUAGUGACAGUGAGAAAGCGCGGGCGCGAUGUUGAUGAAGAACCAGAGGCCAAAUGGUUAGUCGAAGGCGUUUGUCGCGACAAGGAUCAAGUCUUCACAGAAGAUAUAGAUUGCCAUGAUCUAGGGCACAGAGCUAUUUGUUUAUUCCGAUUUCAGCAACAAGAAUUUCAACAGAUUCCUGGUUUGGGCGAUGAACUAAGGAGUCGAGAUCCUUGCAUUUCCGUUUGGAGAAGAAGCUAAAACCCUGGAUAUUCGAGUUUCCAUCGUUUCUGGAAUAGAUACAGACGGAACUAAACAAAAUGUCUGUGCAAGAAUAUCUGGACAAGUACUUGCUCUCCCGGAAAAUUGAGGAUGCUGUUAAUGCUAUGCCGUUUGGGCAAAGGCUCCAGAUCCCGUACUGCUCAUCUCAAAUCAUAUGAAAAGAAAGCCGUUCCUUCUGUAAUCACGAAGAUCAAAGCCAGGCAGAUCCUUGAUAGUAGUGGGAUUCCUACUGUUGAAGUCGACUUGUACACUAAUAAGGGGGUGUUUCGGGCUCCAGCUCCUAGCGGUGUUUCUACUGGAAUAUGAAUGAAGCUGUUUUGAAUUACGUGAUGCAGACAAGGGAAAAUAUCUUGGACAUGGUGUUUCUUGAGCUGUUUAGAUUCUCAAUGAGUAGAUAUCUGAAGCCUUGAUUGGUUUAGAUCCAAUACAUCAGUAUCAAAUUGAUCAGGCAUUGAUAGAUGUGGACAAAACUGAAAAUAAGUUAAAUGAAAGGAAGAAAUGGUAGUAAGAGAACCUUUCAAUGAAGAACUCUAGCAGAGUCAAGAAACUGGUUGCGAAAAUGAAACCAAAGGCUACCAAGAUUUGCAGAAUCAUCCCUUCCCGAGUUGCAAGCUUGUACAGUAUAUUGGCAUUGGCAGAGAUGAACUGUACCAGUAACAUCACAAUGGCUGGUUGAAUCCAUGAUCACGGGGAACCAUAUCUUUUAUGUUCGGGACAAAAUCAAGCAAAGAAAAACUCAGGUGUAACUUUUGGAAAAGUUACAUGAUCAUAGCAGCAAUCACUAUUAUAUAUAAUGAUAUUUUUUAACAUUCUUUGCCAUUUGAUUCAUUGUAUCAUUCAAGAAUUCAGGUGUAAAUUUUGGAAAAGGAAAAAGGCUGAAUUUUUCUAUCAUUUGUAUCAUUCAAGAAUUCAAGUGUUCCUAGUUUGAUCGUCUUCUGGUUUUGACUUCUUGAUAAUCAAAAUUGAUCCUUGCCUAUCUA